GGUAGUAGCAAAUACUCCAGCGAGGCCCUGGCGGACUAACGUGGAGAAGGGUUUCGUGUGAACAGCCGUUGCACACGAGUCAGUCGAUCCUAAGCCCUAAGAGAAAUCCUUGGUGAAUGAGGUGUCCUAAAACAAAUGUUUUGUGUACAAGACACACACCCGUUGGGCGAAAGGGAAUCCGGUUUCUAUUCCGGAACCCGGCAGCGGAACCGCAUACCAUUCGGGCCCUUAUAAGAGUGUUCGUCGGGGUAACCCAAAAUGACCUGGAUGCUCCCACCUCCCAUAGGUACCCGCUGGGC
This 299-nucleotide non-coding RNA is filed under the name Dufourea novaeangliae. RNAcentral's name for it is "Eukaryotic large subunit ribosomal RNA". It matches the Rfam family "Eukaryotic large subunit ribosomal RNA", at positions 1456 to 1795 of the family's 3401-position model. Lineage: Eukaryota; Metazoa; Arthropoda; Insecta; Hymenoptera; Halictidae. The record is from Rfam by way of RNAcentral.